AUUUAGAGACUACCAUAUAUUGUUAAUAAUCACUGUCAUCUGCCAGGUACCGUAUGAAACAUUGGGCUGAUCCAGAUUUUAGUUUAUGACCAUUACUACCUAUGAUAGAUUGUUGACCGUGGGCAUAUAAUAUAUGUGUGGAGACCAUUACUACCUAUGAUAGAGUGUUGCCCGCGGGCAUAUAAUAUAUAUGUGUGGAGACCAUUACUACCUAUGAUAGAAUGUUGCCCGCGGGCAUAUAAUAUAUGUGUGGAUAUAUUUAUAUUUGUGAUUGGUAUGUCCUAUGUUCUAUCCACAUUAUGCAUUGCCUGUGUUCUUGACUUCUCGUUCAUGAACGUUAAGGCCUGUUUUGGUUCAAAGGAUAGGAAUAUCAUAGAAAUAGAAAAGAGAUGUCAUAC
RNAcentral lists this long non-coding RNA (398 nucleotides) under Triticum aestivum (bread wheat). RNAcentral describes it as "long non-coding RNA (TAES_LNC019407)". Lineage: Eukaryota; Viridiplantae; Streptophyta; Magnoliopsida; Poales; Poaceae. The record is from RNAcentral.